This 105-nucleotide non-coding RNA is filed under the name Tritonibacter horizontis. RNAcentral describes it as "Rhodobacteraceae bacterium O3.65 TPP riboswitch aptamer (THI element)". It matches the Rfam family "TPP riboswitch aptamer (THI element)". Rfam says of the family: Vitamin B(1) in its active form thiamin pyrophosphate (TPP) is an essential coenzyme that is synthesised by coupling of pyrimidine and thiazole moieties in bacteria. The previously detected thiamin-regulatory element, thi box was extended, resulting in a new, highly conserved RNA secondary structure, the THI element, which is widely distributed in eubacteria and also occurs in some archaea. Analysis of operon structures identified a large number of new candidate thiamin-regulated genes, mostly transporters, in various prokaryotic organisms. The record is from Rfam by way of RNAcentral. Lineage: Bacteria; Pseudomonadati; Pseudomonadota; Alphaproteobacteria; Rhodobacterales; Paracoccaceae. RNAcentral also lists the same sequence under 1 other name.
CGAGCCACCUCGGGGUGCGUAGUCAACUGCGCUGAGAUGCCAUCUGGCGAACCCGCUGAACCUGAACCGGAUCAUACCGGCGGAGGGAAGGUUUCGGAUCCAAAG